CAGCAAGGUUUCCAAAAUUUUAUGAUAUAAUCACAAAUCUAUAAUAUGCUAUAAAGUUGAACACAAGAAAGCUGAAAAUGAGACAAAUACAUGGGAAAAUAUAUCUAAAGACAAUUGAGUGAUUUAGUUUUUAAAAACCUCUUAGGUGAAUACGUCCAUACAAAUGUAGCACUAGUUAUAGCCGUUCCAUGUUUUUUUGAAUUUGUGGAAACUACUACUAAUAAUUGUAUAUUACAUCCUGAUGGGCAAGUUAAAUAAGCCUUUUAAAGUGCUUUUGGUGCUCCCUUUUGCACCAAUCUGCUAUAAAAAUUUAUUCAUUUAAUAUCCUUUGUUUGCUGACUGUUUUUAAAAAAUCCAUGUGGUUUUUCUAUUCACAAAGCUAACUGAACCUGCCAUAAGCCUUUAUGCAUAAUAAUCUUUCAGAAAUCUAUUUUCUCUAAACAGGAAAAGAAUAACAUCACUUUUCAGUAAUAAUGACAUUCUAAAUAAUACAGGAACACUUUAUCUUAUGCUCAAAAGUAACUGGAUAUAAAUUCACUUUUGCCAGUACAUCUCUAACUUCUGAAAAUUCAAAGGUAGUAUUCGACCAUAUCCAAGUCUCUGAACAGAGGAGUAACAAUUUUAUUCAGGUGGUGAAACUAACAAUCAUCACAGGGAAUAACAUUAUCAGAUGUUUGUAAGUAUGAUGAGGUUUAAAACACAAUAGCCAGAAAUGGAAAUGCUAACAUCUCCAAAACAUGCAUUAAAAUUGAUUUGUUUUAUACAAGUGCUCAUUUUACACCACCUGGGAAAUUUUUGUGCUGUGAACUAGGCCAGGAAAGCAUGCUAUAACUUUUGAUAUAAUUAGAUAUGCAGACAUAAUUCAGAACUAAAGCUCUUUGACAGUCUCAGAAAGGUAAAUAUCGAUGUCACAAUAUAGUCAUAGAUUGAUGUCAUGUUAAAUCUUUAUGGUCCUCUAUGCACUUAGCUUUGCAAAUCAGAAGCAGCUAACUAAAUGAACAAAUGCCUAGAUUUCCUCAAGUUUUUCAGGACACUCAACAAUUUCUACACUGAACACUUUUCUUCACAUAGUCCUGUAAAGAACAGAAGGGAGAUGAACCUCACAUAAAAGGAGAAUGUGUGAAUUUUUUGUGUGUAGCUGUUGGCUGAUAGAGAAUUUGCUGAGAUGAGCUGUGUGAACUUGUGUCAACAGAGCUUGGCCAUAUGGUGCCCAGCUAUGUGGUCAAAUAUUAUUCUGGAUGUUUUUGUGAGAGUGGUUUGGAUAAGAUCAACAUUUAAACCAGUGGACUUGGAGUAAAGCAGACCACCAUCUAUUAUGUGGGUGGGCCCCAUUCUGUGAAAGGCUUGAACAGAACAAGUCUGGUCUUCUCUAGGCAAAAAGAAAAUAUGCCAGCAGCUGGUCUCUGGACUGGAACUGCAACAUUGGCCCCUUCCGAGUCUCUAGGCUUUUAUGCCCACCCAGCAAAAUUUGGAUUUACCAAUUUCCAAAAUAAUGUGAGUCAAUUCCUUAACUUAAAUUUAUUUCUAAACAAACAUGUAUCCUUUGAGUUUUCUUUCUUUGGAGCACCGUUAGGAGUUGAUUAAUGUCAAUGUUCUUAAUGUUGGAUGUUCUAAAGCAUUAGAAUUCCUCUAUAAGAAAGCGUUUUCCGAGUACCUUCCUUUUCAGACUUUUCUUUAGAUGGCCUGGGGCAUCUUUGAUCACAGUUAAUUUUUUUAUUCUGAUUUUGGCUAUGAUGAUGAUUUUAGAUAUAAUUUAAUGCUGGUGAGUAUAUGAAACCAGAGAUUUUUAUUUCCUUUUUGUCUUCUGGACACCUCUUACCCACAUACAUGAAUGCUCUAGCACAUGGCAUUCUUUUAGUUACCUUUUUCUUUGCCUGGAAAUGGUGAUAGACAAAUUCAAAUAUCUAUGGUAAUCAGGUAGGCGAUGAGAAUGAGUAAAGAUACUACAGAGCAUGUGUUUUACAUUGAAAAUAUACUUGGCAUACAUUUUGUGAUUCGUCUAGUCUUUUGCUUCUACCUUUUGUUUUCUCUCUUUUGAUAGAGACAUAGGUAUAGAAAAUGUUUCUAUAUUUUGAAAGAAACAGUAAUGUAAGCAUGACGGUAAAAGGCAAGUAACUUUGACCUCAAGUGAGACAACAGGAUGUGGGAAACUACUUAGAACUGAAAAGAUCAUGCCACUGGAAAACUUGAGUUUACUUAGCUGUUUUAAAAUACCAGCCUUAAAUUUAUGAGAAAAUUACAUAAAAAGGUACUCUUUCAUACAUUGUUCAAAAAUUUUUGAAUUUCCUAUUUUAAACUAACUACUUAUAUCAUACUGCAAACGUAAUAAUAAUGCAUCAUAUUUUCACAAUGUCUUGAAUAAUAUAGCUAUAUUAUUUUCAAGCAUAAUUUGGGAACCUUAAUUACCCUUUGGAUUUUUCAGCAAAUUAAAGUAAAUUCAGAUUACUUUCCCUUGUCAUCUCCUGCAGAGGUGACAUGGCCUUGACUCUGUGUGUGUGUAUGUGUGUGGGUGUGUAUGUGAUGUGCUUAGAAAAUUGUUAAUUCAUAUGAAAAUAAAAUAAAAUUAGAUUGCUACAUGAACAGUUUCAUGACUUUCUCCAGAAUUUACUUUUCAUCUAGUAUGACUGUCUUUAAAGAUAUUAAACUUUCCCUUAAUCCGCAAAUAAUCUUAGAUACUUUUCAAAGAAUUGAUAUCUCACACUUUAUGAAACCAUGUUUCUAAUAGAUAGCUUCUACUGAUAAAUGUCUAAAAUAUUUUUAGGCCACACAGUAUUUAAAAAAAGAGAUACUAUGGCAUAUUAUUUUGACUAUUUACAUAUUUAUUCAAAUGUUUUAUUAUAGUCAUGAUAAAUUCAGAGAUGUUAUGAUAUAAAUAUCUUGUUUAGGAAAAAUUAUUUUGGUCUCUUCCUCACCUUUCACUUCAAUUACCAUUUGUUUUUCUCAUGGGCAAUCUUUUAUGUUUUUAAAUCUCAUGAGCAUCGUGAACCAUGUAUUUCCUUGUCUCACUGGUAGUUGGCAAGUUAAGGUCAACUUUGUGUUCUGCCAUAUAGAAUGCAUAUUCAGAAUGAGACUUCACAGAAAAUUUCUUACUCUUUGUUUUCCUUAAUUUUAUCAAAAUUUAAAUUGAAGAAUAUAUAUAUAUAAAUAUAUAUAUAUAUAUAUACACUUGUUUUUAUUUUUAAGUAUUCUCAAGCCUUAGGGAAAGUCAGAGUGUAACUUGUGGCCACAUACUCAAAGGAAGGGAUAUUAGAAGUAAGGCACAUCAAUAUAUAAACACUGAGAGUCCAACAAAAUGAAGGAAAGGCAAGCCACAUGUGAACCCUAUCCAAAAACAUUCAAAUUCAAAUUACUUAAAAAUAUUAUUUCAAAAUCCAAACCAAUAAAAAAUCAUCUUUGAGAUAAAUUCAAACUGUGGAUGAUUUUGACACUUGUCUCACAAUGUAUGACAAGUAGACAAUUACAAUAAGAAAAUACAUAAAUGGACAGAUGAAUAAAUAUUGAAUAAUUUGAAAUUAAUGCUUUUCAAUCUAAUUCUUUCCUUUGCAACUUCUACCAUUCUAGUAUGGAUGAGUAAAAAUAAUCUUCAGUGUUCUCAUUGUCUCUAGCUUCUAAUUUAUUUAAUCCAUUCAAUAUACCGAUACAGUGAUUGCACUUCCUGUUGUUUCUAGUGUCACAUAUCCAAAAAUAAAAAGUUUCCUUUUUCAGUUUUUUCACAAAUUUGUUUUUCCACUGUCUUCUGUGAUUUCUGUUAUGCUUUUCUUGUUCUUUCUUUGGUUUUAAACUCUGCAUUCAACUUCACCAAAUACUUCUAGUUCUUCAUUGAAAUAUAACCAGAGUCAACUCUACCAGCUAUUAUCUGGACCAUUAUAAUAGCUUGUUAACUGAUCCUGCUGCCUACUUUAUUCUCUUACAUUUUAGUAUUCAGUAAGAACCAACAAAAACUAAUGUACGGCCAGCACCGAGGCUCAAUAAGCUAAUUCUCCACCUGCAGUGCUGGCACCCUGGGUUCUAGUCCCGGUCAGGGCGCCAGAUUCUGUCCCGGUUGCUCCUCGUCCAGGCCAGCUCUCUGCUGUGGCCCGGGAGUGCAGUGGAGGAUGGCCCAAGUGCUUGGGCCCUGCACCCGCAUGGGAGACCAGGAGAAGCACCUGGCUCCUGGCUUCGGGAUCAGCGCGGUGCGCCGGCAGCAGCCCACCUGCUGCAGCGGGCAUUAGGGUGUGAACCAAUGGAAAAGGAAGACCUUUCUCUCUGUCUCUCUCUCUCACUGACCACUCUGCCUGUCCAAAAAAAAAAAAAAAAAAAAACUAAUGUAGGUGCUUCUCAAAGAAUUUUUAUUUCAAAAGAAUAAAAUAUUUAUGCUAUUCCAUAUGCAGAAAACAUGAAAAAGAUAUGUAGUGAAACAUUGAUAAUGAUCUAAUUUCUACUACUCUCUGCCUACUUAUCAUUCUCCUUUUAUCUUUGUAUUCUUUAAAAUUUAGUUUUUAAAAUGUGUUGGCAAAUAUAAAUGCAGAUUUUUGGCCUAUUUUUAUCAAUUUUUUGAACAAUAUCAAAUUACUUACUUAGCAAUGAUCUUAAGAGAAAUUUUCCUUAAUACAUAUCAUGCACCUUCAUUUUUUCCAGCUUCCUUAUAUUUAACUGCAUGUUUGUAAUACAAUUUACAUAACCUCUUUCUUACUGAUAUAUGUUUAGUAUGUUGCCACAUAUACUAUUACAAAUAAUACUGCUCUUUUUUAGUACCUAUUACAUAAAAAUGAUUCUGUUCUGAAAGUUAUUUUCAUCUAAAAUUCCCAUGGUUAAGGUCAAGCUGUCCUCUAUGGGAUCUGUAUUAGUUUACCUUCAGUAACAGAAGACUGUGUCUGUUUCCCUACAAACUCAUCAAUUGAGUAUCUUAGCCAAUUUUUGAAUCAUUGCCCUCUGAUGUUUCACAAGGUGUUUUGUAGGUAGUAAGUGCUCAAUGCUUUCUGGAUUAAAUGGCAGUUAUGUCUGUUAACAUAUGGUUCUAAUGGACUGUUAACUUUAAGUCUCUUCUACAUAUUUCAAUGAUUGGAGAAUACAGAGUGGGAGGUGGAGAUAACAGCAAAUGUAUGAAUUGAUGGAGAAGAUAGAUUUUGAUUGAAUGGCAACCUGAUUUGAAAGCAUAGCAGCUACCCAGUUGCCCAUUUUCUAUCUGGAAAUCUAAAGAAGAGUGGGUUUAUCAGACUAAGUCCACCUUCAUCUACAAUACUUCCGCAGUGAUGACUGAGCCUCAUGUGAAGGACUUGUAGAGAUCCAAGGAGAAUGUCACUCAGACACUGAUUAGCAUGAACUUCUUCGAGUGAUGCAUAAUCUUUGACAACCAUGGUAGGAACUUAUUCUUCCAAGAAUAUCCAGAGGACAGGCACCUAUAGAUGUCACCUGCCAUCUCUAAUUUAUUAACUGACUUGUAACCUGCUUUCAUAGGCAUUCGUUAUAUUCUUUCACCUUGACCUUCUCUUCUACAGCUUGAUAUUGUUAUUUCAAUAAAAUGGCUUUCCCCACCCCUCACUGUGAGUAAAGGAAUCGAUCCAUAAUAUUUUAGUGUAGAAAAUUGAACUGAAAAAGUGCUGAGAACACUCACAUGUUUGAGAGCAAAGGUCAGAAAGGACUCAUUUGUGUAAAUAUUUUUAAUAUUAUUGCUGUGUACAUUAAUUACUUCCCAGUAUUUGAAAAAUUGCAUAAUUUUUAGCUAAAGAAAUACAUUUUAUCACCCUGAGACAUGCCUACAUUGCCUUAAAAAUAUGAUUACAGCAUAAUAGCAUGGAUCCAACUUUAAUUGGACACUGAGUAAAAUUAUGCAAAUGCUUUCAGGCACCCAUGCUCUAGUCUAAUAAUUGGUGACCUUUUUCACAAAGGACCAGAAGAAAAUAUUUUCGUGGCCCAAGAGGGAAAAUAGAAGAUAUAA
This is a non-coding RNA of Oryctolagus cuniculus (rabbit), 5917 nucleotides long. NCBI's taxonomy places the organism in Eukaryota, Metazoa, Chordata, Mammalia, Lagomorpha, Leporidae. The record is from RefSeq and is a predicted model, not a curated record.